RNAcentral lists this ribosomal RNA (670 nucleotides) under uncultured organism. RNAcentral describes it as "bacterial SSU rRNA". It matches the Rfam family "Bacterial small subunit ribosomal RNA", at positions 1 to 663 of the family's 1533-position model. The record is from RNAcentral.
GGCUUAGAGUUUGAUCAUGGCUCAGGAUGAACGCUAGCUACAGGCUUAACACAUGCAAGUCGAGGGGCAUCAGGAAGAAAGCUUGCUUUCUUUGCUGGCGACCGGCGCACGGGUGAGUAACACGUAUCCAACCUGCCCUUUACUCGGGGAUAGCCUUUCGAAAGAAAGAUUAAUACCCGAUAGCAUAAUGAUUCCGCAUGGUUUCAUUAUUAAAGGAUUCCGGUAAAGGAUGGGGAUGCGUUCCAUUAGGUUGUUGGUGAGGUAACGGCUCACCAAGCCUUCGAUGGAUAGGGGUUCUGAGAGGAAGGUCCCCCACAUUGGAACUGAGACACGGUCCAAACUCCUACGGGAGGCAGCAGUGAGGAAUAUUGGUCAAUGGGCGCUAGCCUGAACCAGCCAAGUAGCGUGAAGGAUGAAGGCUCUAUGGGUCGUAAACUUCUUUUAUAUAAGAAUAAAGUGCAGUAUGUAUACUGUUUUGUAUGUAUUAUAUGAAUAAGGAUCGGCUAACUCCGUGCCAGCAGCCGCGGUAAUACGGAGGAUCCGAGCGUUAUCCGGAUUUAUUGGGUUUAAAGGGAGCGUAGGUGGACUGGUAAGUCAGUUGUGAAAGUUUGCGGCUCAACCGUAAAAUUGCAGUUGAUACUGUCAGUCUUGAGUACAGUAGAGGUGGGCG